RNAcentral lists this microRNA precursor (81 nucleotides) under Populus trichocarpa (black cottonwood). RNAcentral's name for it is "miR6437a stem-loop (ptc-MIR6437a, ptc-MIR6437b)". The record is from miRBase by way of RNAcentral. Lineage: Eukaryota; Viridiplantae; Streptophyta; Magnoliopsida; Malpighiales; Salicaceae.
UAGAGGUGCUGGUGCUGCUGGAGGCUGGUGGCGGUGUCUUGGCUCACGGACGGCGGCUCCAAGCAGCGGCAGCGGUGCUAC